AGCGAACGCUGGCGGCAGGCCUAACACAUGCAAGUCGAACGGACCCUUCGGGGUUAGUGGCGGACGGGUGAGUAACACGUGGGAACGUGCCUUUAGGUUCGGAAUAGCUCCUGGAAACGGGUGGUAAUGCCGAAUGUGCCCUUCGGGGGAAAGAUUUAUCGCCUUUAGAGCGGCCCGCGUCUGAUUAGCUAGUUGGUGAGGUAAUGGCUCACCAAGGCGACGAUCAGUAGCUGGUCUGAGAGGAUGACCAGCCACACUGGGACUGAGACACGGCCCAGCCUCCAACGGGAGGGAGCAGUGGGGAAUCUUGCGCAAUGGGCGAAAGCCUGACGCAGCCAUGCCGCGUGAAUGAUGAAGGUCUUAGGAUUGUAAAAUUCUUUCACCGGGGACGAUAAUGACGGUACCCGGAGAAGAAGCCCCGGCUAACUUCGUGCCAGCCGCCGCGGUAA
This 449-nucleotide ribosomal RNA is filed under the name uncultured bacterium. RNAcentral's name for it is "partial 16S ribosomal RNA". It matches the Rfam family "Bacterial small subunit ribosomal RNA", at positions 29 to 523 of the family's 1533-position model. The record is from RNAcentral.